GCCCCCAUAGCUUAAUUGGUAAAGCACCGGUCUCUUAAACCGAGGAGUCCAGGUUCGAGUCCUGGUGGGGGCACAA
RNAcentral lists this transfer RNA (76 nucleotides) under Parcubacteria bacterium DG_74_1. RNAcentral's name for it is "tRNA-Lys". It matches the Rfam family "tRNA". From Rfam's summary of the family: Transfer RNA (tRNA) molecules are approximately 80 nucleotides in length. Lineage: Bacteria; Candidatus Parcubacteria. The record is from RNAcentral.